AAUUGGGAUUUUACCCGACAGCACUGCCGGAUUACUCCGUUUUAAGUGUGUGUUAACCCUAGUUACUGUUUCGGUGAUGGUUAGCGCACUUAAGCCGGAUUAAUUUAGGCGGGACUGCCACACCUAUACAGGGAAUUUCCAGAACAUUAUACAUGGAACAAGUCCACAAAAAGUUGGUCUCAUAGGAAAAGGCAGUUCCAGAUUGGAAGGUUGGUGUAUGCAUACCCGUCUGAGGGCGAACGAUUUUAUCUUCGAGUUGUUUUAAAUCAUGUUCGAGGUCCAACAUCAUUCAUAUCAAUCAGAACAGUCUGAGGUGUGGUGAGUCCUACAUUUAGAGAAUGCUGUGAGAAACUUGGACUUGUCGAAACAGAUAGUUCACUUGACAAUGCACUCAGCAAAGCCGUAACUUUUCAGAUGCCACAUGCUCUUAGAAGAAAGUUUGCAACUAUUAUGAUUUAUUGCGAGUACACAAACAUCCGUGCCCUCUGGGACAAGCAUUAUGAAUCAAUGGUUGAGGACUAUCGUCAUGUUCAUGGUAGUUCUUCAAUAGUUGAGCAGUUUGUCCUUCGAGACAUUGCAUAUAUUCUCUCCUCGAUGGGUAAAGACAUUAGAAAUUACGGACUGCCAUCCAUGCAACUAUCUGGGAGACGAAUAGAGAUUAUUAUAGGGAGCUGACUGAGGAUAGAAAAAUUGUUGUAUCUGAUGAGGACAUUAAAUUAGCUGAGCCACUUAAUGCUGAGCAGAUGGAAGGUUUCAACGAAAUUUUAGAUCAUGUUAUGACAAAUAAAGGGAAAGUUUUCUUUGUAGAUGGUUCUGGUGGGACCGGAAAGACUUAUCUUUACAGGGCACUUCUGGCCAGAGUUCGGUCGACAGACCGCAUCACAAUAGCUACGGCUACGUCUGGAAUUGAAGCAUCCAUCAUGCCUGGAGGUUGGACAGCACAUUCGAGGUUCAAAAUUCCCAUAAAACUUGAAGAUAAUUCUGUGUGCAACUUUACCAAACAAAGUGGUACUACAGAACUAUUGCGCGAGGCAUCUUUAAUUAUAUGGGAUGAGGUUGCGAUGACACGAAGGCAGGCUGUAGAGACACUUGACAGAUCUUUACAGGAUAUUACAGGAUGUGAUUUACCGUUUGGUGGUAAAGUAAUGGUAUUUGGAGGGGAUUUCAGACAAGUUCUACCUAUUGUUCCUAGAGGUACUAGAGCACAAAUUUGUGAUGCUACCUUGCUUCAAUCCUAUAUAUGGGAUGAUAUCAAGAUAAUACGGUUGAAGCAGAACAUGAGGGCCCAGAAUGAUGUAUGGUUCUCGCAGUUUCUAUUAAGAAUUGGUGAUGGGACAGAAAAGACCUUCCCACAUGACUAUGUGGAUCUGUCGGAUGACAUUAUGCUUGAGUAUAAUGAUGAUCAGUCUAUUGAUACUCUCAUCGACUAUGUGUUUCCUAAUCUAGCUAAGAAUUGCACAUCCGUCAGUUACAUGCGCGAGUGUGCUAUCUUGUCAACAAGAAAUAAGUAUGUUGUCAACAAGAAACCAUAGCACGAGCUUAUAAUUAAGAAGAACUGUCCUGUCAUACUCCUUCGAAAUUUGGAUCCUCAUCAUGGACUGUGCAAUGGAACUCGACUUAUAGUGAAGGCUUUUGAGGACAAUGCAAUUGAUUGUGAAAUUGUAAAUGGACAGCAUACUGGAAAUCGAGUUUUUAUACCAAGGAUACCAUUGUCUCCA
This is a long non-coding RNA of Panicum virgatum (switchgrass), 1718 nucleotides long. RefSeq lists it as uncharacterized. The transcript is spliced from 2 exons. NCBI's taxonomy places the organism in Eukaryota, Viridiplantae, Streptophyta, Magnoliopsida, Poales, Poaceae. The record is from RefSeq and is a predicted model, not a curated record.